UGAAUGGACGAAGUCUGACGGAGCAACGCCGCGUGAGUGAAGAAGGUUUUCGGAUCGUAAAACUCUGUUGUUAGGGAAGAACAAGUCAGGUAGUAACUGACCUGACCUUGACGGUACCUAACCAGAAAGCCACGGCUAACUACGUGCCAGCAGCCGCGGUAAUACGUAGGUGGCAAGCGUUGUCCGGAUUUAUUGGGCGUAAAGCGCUCGCAGGCGGUCUUUUAAGUCUGAUGUGAAAGCCCACGGCUUAACCGUGGAGGGUCAUUGGAAACUGGAGGACUUGAGUGCAGAAGAGGAGAGUGGAAUUCCAUGUGUAGCGGUGAAAUGCGUAGAGAUAUGGAGGAACACCAGUGGCGAAGGCGACUCUCUGGUCUGUAACUGACGCUGAGGAGCGAAAGCGUGGGUAGCGAACAGGAUUAGAUACCCUGGUAGUCCACGCCGUAAACGAUGAGUGCUAGGUGUUAGGGGGUUUCCGCCCCUUAGUGCUGAAGUUAACGCAUUAAGCACUCCGCCUGGGGAGUACGGCCGCAAGGCUGAAACUCAAAGAAAUUUGACGGA
Molecule: ribosomal RNA, 558 nt
Filed under: uncultured bacterium
Lineage: Bacteria
Description: bacterial SSU rRNA
Rfam family: Bacterial small subunit ribosomal RNA
Source: RNAcentral